GCAGACACAUUCCAGCCAAUCAGCAGCAGACUCUCCCUCCCAGACCCUCCCACCUCCUGGACAGCUUCCAUUUUACAUUCAUUGUGAAGCUGCAUUCUUAGUGAGCUGUCCAGGAGGUGGGAGGGUCUGGGAGGGAGGGUCUGCUGCUGAUUGGCUGGAAUGUGUCUG
This is a non-coding RNA of Pelobates cultripes (western spadefoot toad), 168 nucleotides long. Lineage: Eukaryota; Metazoa; Chordata; Amphibia; Anura; Pelobatidae. The record is from the annotation of a GenBank genome assembly.